UGGGUUAGUGGCGGACGGUGAGUAACGCGUGGUAACCUGCCUUACACAGGGGGAUAACACUUAGAAAUAGGUGCUAAAACCGCAUAAGCGCACAGCUUCGCAUGAAGCGGUGUGAAAAACUCCGGUGGUGUAAGAUGGACCCGCGUCUGAUUAGCUUGUUGGCGGGGUAACGGCCCACCAAGGCGACGAUCAGUAGCCGGCCUGAGAGGGCGGACGGCCACAUUGGGACUGAGACACGGCCCAGACUCCUACGGAAGGCAGCAG
RNAcentral lists this ribosomal RNA (264 nucleotides) under uncultured bacterium. RNAcentral's name for it is "partial 16S ribosomal RNA". It matches the Rfam family "Bacterial small subunit ribosomal RNA", at positions 88 to 354 of the family's 1533-position model. The record is from RNAcentral.